This 559-nucleotide ribosomal RNA is filed under the name Polypedilum sp. AU09CTCR4. RNAcentral describes it as "partial large subunit ribosomal RNA". It matches the Rfam family "Eukaryotic large subunit ribosomal RNA", at positions 440 to 900 of the family's 3401-position model. The record is from RNAcentral. Lineage: Eukaryota; Metazoa; Arthropoda; Insecta; Diptera; Chironomidae.
UGUGCACUUUUCUCUUAGUAAGACGCCGUGAUUCAUUAGAAAUUGGUGCACGCCAAGUGCACAGUGGGUCAUCAAUAGGCCGGCACGAAGUUUAUCGGAACAAAUGGCGUGGUCUUUAACGGCCGCGUGUAUUGUCUGGUAAGCGUGUCCGUGUCCUGCAAUGACUGUCUGAUGAGUUUUAGAGACCGACAUCAACGAUGCCUCGUGCAUUGGCGCUUGUCGCAAAUCGAUGCGUGUCUGAUCGACGGCGGUUAAAUUUGGGAUACCUUUUGGACCCGUCUUGAAACACGGACCAAGGAGUCUAUCUAGUAUGCGAGUAAAUGGAUAGUUAAUGAAAUCUAUUUGCGCAAUAAACGUGACUGUUUAAUGGGAUUACGGCUUGUCGACACGCAAGUGUCUCUCGCCUUCCUUCCCGGGGUAUUUUCAUCCACAUACUCUGUAUGGAAAAUAUACCAUGAGCAUACUGGAUGCGACCCGAAAGAUGGUGAACUAUGCCUGAUCAGGUCGAAGUCAGGGGAAACCCUGAUGGAGGACCGAAGCAGUUCUGACGUGCAAAUCG